Molecule: ribosomal RNA, 507 nt
Filed under: uncultured bacterium
Lineage: Bacteria
Description: bacterial SSU rRNA
Rfam family: Bacterial small subunit ribosomal RNA
Source: RNAcentral
AUGGCUCAGGAUGAACGCUAGCUACAGGCUUAACACAUGCAAGUCGAGGGGCAGCAUUGGGAUAGCUUGCUAUUCAGAUGGCGACCGGCGCACGGGUGAGUAACGCGUAUCCAACCUUCCUGCCAGUAGGGAACAGCCCGGCGAAAGUCGGAUUAAUGCCCUAUGUUCUUCAAUGCGGACAUCUAAGUUGAAGGAAAGAUUCAUCGCUGGCAGAUGGGGAUGCGUCCGAUUAGCUUGCCGGCGGGUAACGGCCCACCGGGCGACGAUCGGUAGGGGUUCUGAGAGGAAGGUCCCCCACACUGGUACUGAGACACGGACCAGACUCCUACGGGAGGCAGCAGUGAGGAAUAUUGGUCAAUGGGCGUAAGCCUGAACCAGCCAAGUAGCGUGCAGGAUGACGGCCCUACGGGUUGUAAACUGCUUUUAUGCGGGGAUAAAGUGCGGCACGUGUGCCGCUUUGCAGGUACCGCAUGAAUAAGGACCGGCUAAUUCCGUGCCAGCAGCAGC